Molecule: ribosomal RNA, 497 nt
Filed under: uncultured bacterium
Lineage: Bacteria
Description: partial 16S ribosomal RNA
Rfam family: Bacterial small subunit ribosomal RNA
Source: RNAcentral
GAUGAACGCUGGCGGCGUGCCUAAUACAUGCAAGUCGAGCGAACAGACGAGGAGCUUGCUCCUCUGACGUUAGCGGCGGACGGGUGAGUAACACGUGGAUAACCUACCUAUAAGACUGGGAUAACUUCGGGAAACCGGAGCUAAUGCCGGAUAAUAUAUUGAACCGCAUGGUUCAAUAGUGAAAGACGGUUUUGCUGUCACUUAUAGAUGGAUCCGCGCCGAAUUAGCUAGUUGGUAAGGUAACGGCUUACCAAGGCAACGAUGCGUAGCCGACCAGUGAGGGUAAUCAGCCACACAGCAACUGAGACACGGUCAAGAUUUCUACGGGAGGCAGCAGAAGGGAAUCUUCCGCAAUGGGCGAAAGCUUGCCGGAGCAACGCCGCGUGAGUGAUGAAGGUCUUCGGAUCGUAAAACUCUGUUAUUAGGGAAGAACAAAUGUGUAAGUAACUAUGCACGUCUUGACGGUACCUAAUCAGAAAGCCACGGCUAACUACGUG